UUUAUACACACCGAGCUGUAACUACUAACGCUUUAUUGAACAAAUAUAAGGUUAAGUAUUUAUAAGCCGUAGCAAGGCCAUAGGGGCCGAGUUACCAGGGUUAACAAGGAAACAAGUUAGCCUCCCGACAUUUGGAAAGGUGAUAUGUUACAA
This 153-nucleotide non-coding RNA is filed under the name uncultured Colwellia sp. Its description in RNAcentral is "Moco (molybdenum cofactor) riboswitch". The stretch from base 9 to 142 matches the Rfam family "Molybdenum/Tungsten riboswitch aptamer (Moco RNA motif)", at positions 13 to 119 of the family's 135-position model. The record is from RNAcentral. Lineage: Bacteria; Pseudomonadati; Pseudomonadota; Gammaproteobacteria; Alteromonadales; Colwelliaceae.